RNAcentral lists this ribosomal RNA (465 nucleotides) under Vreelandella stevensii. RNAcentral's name for it is "partial 16S ribosomal RNA". It matches the Rfam family "Bacterial small subunit ribosomal RNA", at positions 338 to 795 of the family's 1533-position model. The record is from RNAcentral. Lineage: Bacteria; Pseudomonadati; Pseudomonadota; Gammaproteobacteria; Oceanospirillales; Halomonadaceae.
CCUACGGGUGGCAGCAGUGGGGAAUAUUGGACAAUGGGCGAAAGCCUGAUCCAGCCAUGCCGCAUGUGUGAAGAAGGCCUUCGGGUUGUAAAGCACUUUCAGUGGGGAAGAAAGCCUUGGGGCUAAUACCCUCGAGGAAGGACAUCACCCACAGAAGAAGCACCGGCUAACUCCGUGCCAGCAGCCGCGGUAAUACGGAGGGUGCGAGCGUUAAUCGGAAUUACUGGGCGUAAAGCGCGCGUAGGCGGUCUGAUAAGCCGGUUGUGAAAGCCCCGGGCUCAACCUGGGAACGGCAGCCGGAACUGUCAGGCUAGAGUGCAGGAGAGGAAGGUAGAAUUCCCGGUGUAGCGGUGAAAUGCGUAGAGAUCGGGAGGAAUACCAGUGGCGAAGGCGGCCUUCUGGACUGACACUGACGCUGAGGUGCGAAAGCGUGGGUAGCAAACAGGAUUAGAUACCCCUGUAGUC